RNAcentral lists this transfer RNA (64 nucleotides) under Caeparia donskoffi. RNAcentral describes it as "tRNA-Gly". The record is from RNAcentral. Lineage: Eukaryota; Metazoa; Arthropoda; Insecta; Blattodea; Blaberidae.
AUUUAUUUAAUAUAUUAGUAUAUUUGACUUCCAAUCAAAAAGUUUGUUCAAGACAAAAUAAAUA